This 76-nucleotide transfer RNA is filed under the name Candidatus Saccharimonadota bacterium. RNAcentral's name for it is "tRNA-Thr". It matches the Rfam family "tRNA". From Rfam's summary of the family: Transfer RNA (tRNA) molecules are approximately 80 nucleotides in length. Their secondary structure includes four short double-helical elements and three loops (D, anti-codon, and T loops). Further hydrogen bonds mediate the characteristic L-shaped molecular structure. tRNAs have two regions of fundamental functional importance: the anti-codon, which is responsible for specific mRNA codon recognition, and the 3' end, to which the tRNAs corresponding amino acid is attached (by aminoacyl-tRNA synthetases). tRNAs cope with the degeneracy of the genetic code in two manners: having more than one tRNA (with a specific anti-codon) for a particular amino acid; and 'wobble' base-pairing, i.e. permitting non-standard base-pairing at the 3rd anti-codon position. Lineage: Bacteria; Candidatus Saccharimonadota. The record is from RNAcentral.
GCCGUAGUAGCUCAGUUGGUAGAGCAGCCGCCUUGUAAGCGGCAGGUCAUCAGUUCAAGUCUGAUCUGCGGCUCCA